This 479-nucleotide ribosomal RNA is filed under the name uncultured bacterium. RNAcentral's name for it is "partial 16S ribosomal RNA". It matches the Rfam family "Bacterial small subunit ribosomal RNA", at positions 28 to 507 of the family's 1533-position model. The record is from RNAcentral.
GACGAACGCUGGCGGCGUGCUUAACACAUGCAAGUCGAACGAAGCUUGAUUACGGAUUCUUCGGAUGAAGUAUGAUAUGACUGAGUGGCGGACGGGUGAGUAACGCGUGAGUAACCUGCCCUUCAGAGGGGGAUAGCGUUUGGAAACGAACGGUAAUACCGCAUAAUGUAUUUUGACCGCAUGAUCGAAAUACCAAAGAUUUAUCGCUGAAGGAUGGACUCGCGUCUGAUUAGGUAGUUGGUGGGGUAACGGCCUACCAAGCCGACGAUCAGUAGCCGGACUGAGAGGUUGAUCGGCCACAUUGGGACUGAGACACGGCCCAGACUCCUACGGGAGGCAGCAGUGGGGAAUAUUGCACAAUGGGCGCAAGCCUGAUGCAGCAACGCCGCGUGAAGGAAGACGGUUUUCGGAUUGUAAACUUCUGUUCUUAGUGAAGAAUAAUGACGUUAGCUAAGGAGCAAGCCACGGCUAACUACGUG